UACGUAGGGUGCAAGCGUUAAUCGGAAUUACUGGGCGUAAAGCGUGCGCAGGCGGUUAUAUAAGACAGUUGUGAAAUCCCCGGGCUCAACCUGGGAAUUGCGAUGGAGACUGCAAGGCUAGAAUCUGGCAGAGGGGGGUAGAAUUCCACGUAUAGCAGUGAAAUGCGUAGAGAUGUGGAGGAACACCGAUGGCGAAGGCAGCCCCCUGGGUCAAGAUUGACGCUCAUGCACGAAAGCGUGGGGAGCAAACAGG
This 253-nucleotide ribosomal RNA is filed under the name uncultured bacterium. RNAcentral describes it as "partial 16S ribosomal RNA". It matches the Rfam family "Bacterial small subunit ribosomal RNA", at positions 524 to 776 of the family's 1533-position model. The record is from RNAcentral.